RNAcentral lists this ribosomal RNA (496 nucleotides) under uncultured bacterium. Its description in RNAcentral is "partial 16S ribosomal RNA". It matches the Rfam family "Bacterial small subunit ribosomal RNA", at positions 28 to 506 of the family's 1533-position model. The record is from RNAcentral.
GAUGAACGCUGGCGGCGUGCCUAAUACAUGCAAGUCGAGCGAACGGACAAGAAGCUUGCUUCUCUGAUGUUAGCGGCGGACGGGUGAGUAACACGUGGAUAACCUACCUAUAAGACUGGGAUAACUUCGGGAAACCGUAGCUAAUACCGGAUAAUAUUUUGAACCGCAUGGUUCAAAAGUGAAAGACGGUCUUGCUGUCACUUAUAGAUGGAUCCGCGCUGCAUUAGCUAGUUGGUAAGGUAACGGCUUACCAAGGCAACGAUGCAUAGCCGACCUGAGAGGGGGAGCGGCCAAAGGGAAACGAAGAAAGGGUCCAAAACCCUAGGGGAGGCAGAAGAAGGAAAUCUUCGGAAAGGGGGAAAAGCCGGAGGAAGAAACGCGACGGGGGGAAUAAAGGUUUGCGAAUGGAAAAACUUUUUUAUAAGGAAAAAAAAAAUGGGUAAGAAACUGGGCACAUCUGGAGGGAACCAAAUCAAAAAACCAGGGUAAACUAGGG